RNAcentral lists this ribosomal RNA (253 nucleotides) under uncultured bacterium. RNAcentral describes it as "partial 16S ribosomal RNA". It matches the Rfam family "Bacterial small subunit ribosomal RNA", at positions 524 to 776 of the family's 1533-position model. The record is from RNAcentral.
UACGUAGGGCGCAAGCGUUGUCCGGAAUUAUUGGGCGUAAAGAGCUCGUAGGCGGCCUGUUGCGUCCGCUGUGAAAACCCGCAGCUCAACUGUGGGCUUGCAGCUGAUACGGGCAGGCUUGAGUUCGGUAGGGGAGACUGGAAUUCCUGGUGUAGCGGUGAAAUGCGCAGAUAUCAGGAGGAACACCGGUGGCGAAGGCGGGUCUCUGGGCCGAUACUGACGCUGAGGAGCGAAAGCGUGGGGAGCGAACAGG